UGUCUCCUCCAAUUUCCUCCUAAAGAAUUGGAUUCAAGCCCGCAACUUCGGUUGUGGGCUUUUUUUU
Molecule: small RNA, 67 nt
Organism: Herbaspirillum seropedicae SmR1
Lineage: Bacteria; Pseudomonadati; Pseudomonadota; Betaproteobacteria; Burkholderiales; Oxalobacteraceae
Rfam family: Betaproteobacteria toxic small RNA
About the family: Overexpression in amino aid rich medium attenuates growth, suggesting role in repressing amino acid intake and metabolism.
Source: Rfam